AAAACUUUUCACUGCUCUAAUGCUGGCUGCAGCUGCUCCUUUCCAAACAUGCAGAAAUUGAUGGAACAUAUGAGACGCAUCAUAAACCGAACAUAUUUUUUCUUGUGUGAAAAUUGCCGUACAAAGUUGCGAUCAUACCGCGGCCUCCUGACUCACCUUCACACCUGUUCCAAAGUUCCACGAGGGAAAUCAAAGUCAACAGAACAGAUGCCCUAAAACCAGCUGGUGUGAAAAACCCAAACGCAACUCCUUUGUCUACUAAUCUGAACCUGCCUCAGAUGGAUGUGUUCACCCCACACCUAUUGAUCCCUAAACCAGACAGUUCUUAAGUAUACCUCUUCCCCAUCACGUUUGUUGAUGCAUUAAAGCAAUGUGCAAGUGUAGUAUAAUAAAGAAAAAAAAACA
Molecule: long non-coding RNA, 405 nt
Organism: Syngnathus acus (greater pipefish)
Lineage: Eukaryota; Metazoa; Chordata; Actinopteri; Syngnathiformes; Syngnathidae
Exons: 2
Source: RefSeq, a predicted model, not a curated record